Molecule: ribosomal RNA, 366 nt
Filed under: uncultured bacterium
Lineage: Bacteria
Description: bacterial SSU rRNA
Rfam family: Bacterial small subunit ribosomal RNA
Source: RNAcentral
UCAGGCCUAACACAUGCAAGUCGAGCGGGGGCUUCGGUCCUAGCGGCGAACGGGUGAGGAAUACUUGGGAAUCUGCCUUGUAGUGGGGGAUAACGUUCCGAAAGGAACGCUAAUACCGCAUACGUCCUACGGGAGAAAGGGGGGGAUCUUCGGACCUCUUGCUAUAAGAUGAGCCCAAGUCGGAUUAGCUAGUUGGUGAGGUAAAGGCUCACCAAGGCGACGAUCCGUAGCUGGUCUGAGAGGAUGAUCAGCCACACUGGAACUGAGACACGGUCCAGACUCCUACGGGAGGCAGCAGUGGGGAAUAUUGGACAAUGGGGGCAACCCUGAUCCAGACAGGCCGCGUGUGUGAAGAAGGCCUUCGGG